This 765-nucleotide ribosomal RNA is filed under the name uncultured bacterium. RNAcentral's name for it is "bacterial SSU rRNA". It matches the Rfam family "Bacterial small subunit ribosomal RNA", at positions 617 to 1397 of the family's 1533-position model. The record is from RNAcentral.
CAGCCCGCGAUUGAUACUGGUAACCUUGAGUGCGGAUGAGGUGGAGGAAUUCGUGGUGUAGCGGUGAAAUGCUUAGAUAUCACGAAGAACUCCGAUUGCGAAGGCGUUCACUGGGCCGCAACUGACGCUGAAGCUCGAAAGUGCGGGUAUCAAACAGGAUUAGAUCCCUGGUAGUCCGCACCGUAAACGAUGGAUACUCGCUGCCGGCGAUAUACUGUCGGUGGCACGCGAAAGCAUUAAGUAUCCCACCUGGGGAGUACGCCGGCAACGGUGAAACUCAAAGGAUUGACGGGGGCCCGCACAAGCGGAGGAACAUGUGGUUUAAUUCGAUGAUACGCGAGGAACUUACCCGGGCUUGAACUAUGGUGGACCGUUCCAGAGAUGGAUCUUCCCUUCGGGGCCGCCUGGAGGUGCUGCAUGGUUGUCGUCAGCUCGUGCCGUGAGGUGUCGGCUUAAGUGCCAUAAGAGCGCAACCCUUUCCGUUAGUUGCCAUCAGGUAAUGCUGGGGACUCUAUCGGUACUGCCUCGUAAGAUGUGAGGAAGGUGGGGAUGACGUCAAAUCAGCACGGCCCUUACGUCCGGGGCACACACGUGUUACAAUGGGGGGUACAGAGGGCUGCCACCUGGUGACAGGGAGCCAAUCCCAAAACCUCUCUCAGUUCGGACUGGAGUCUGCAACCCGACUCCACGAAGCUGGAUUCGCUAUAAUCGCGCAUCAGCCAUGGCGCGGUGAAUACGUUCCCGGGCCUUGCACACACCGCCCGU